RNAcentral lists this long non-coding RNA (288 nucleotides) under Olea europaea (common olive). RNAcentral's name for it is "long non-coding RNA (OEUR_LNC000202)". Lineage: Eukaryota; Viridiplantae; Streptophyta; Magnoliopsida; Lamiales; Oleaceae. The record is from RNAcentral.
CCUUCCUCUUCAAUUGUCUCUCGACCUUUAUUGCCACAUGUAACAUGUCCUCGAUUUCCACAUAAUGUUGCAACUCUACAAUGUUUGCAAUAUCCCGAUUUAACCCAUUCAAGAACCGUGCCAUGGUAGCUUCCCGAUCUACCUCCACAUUAGCCCGAAUCAUAAGAAUUUCCAUCUCCUUGUGAUAAUCCUCUACGCUUUUCGAUCCUUGAUACAAACCUUGCAAUUUUUUAUGGAUUUCCCUAUAAUAGUGACUCAGAACAAACCUCAUCCUCAUCAACAUCUUCA